Molecule: long non-coding RNA, 520 nt
Organism: Beta vulgaris subsp. vulgaris (sugar beet)
Lineage: Eukaryota; Viridiplantae; Streptophyta; Magnoliopsida; Caryophyllales; Amaranthaceae
Exons: 2
Source: RefSeq, a predicted model, not a curated record
CUUUCUCUCUGGCCCUGGAUAUAUAGGUUAAAUUUGAAUAAGAGAAAAGUAAGUAUAUCAAAAUGAAAUCUAAGUGUAUACGUCUCUGAACAUAUUUCAUGACGGAAAUCCCCAAGUUCAUUUCAUAGAAGACCAAAAUAUUUACCAAAUUGGGGGACUCUUCAGGCAAUGACAUUGAACUCCUACUAUUGCUGUCAUCUCGUCCAAAGAUAAAAGAUCUUCCAGUGCUUGGUCCACGCCUAUGGCUUGAUGGCCCGGGAUGGCAGGAUGCUCGCUGCAGAAAGGAAGACUAGAAUUCCAAAAGCAAAGCAUCAAGUGAAGGAAUGAAUAUAUUUAAAGUAUUUCAAGUUAAUAUAAUACACUUGAGAAAGUAUAGCAUACAACAAGACAGAUUAAGUUGCUUGAAAACUAUUUCCAUCUAACACUCCCUAUCCAGCAGCUCAUAAGGCUUUCACCUUCCUUUUGUCAUUGUGAGUUAAGACAUUUUAAUCUUCCACAAAUGUAAUGUUAUUAUAGGUCA